RNAcentral lists this ribosomal RNA (336 nucleotides) under Pectobacterium carotovorum subsp. carotovorum. RNAcentral describes it as "bacterial SSU rRNA". It matches the Rfam family "Bacterial small subunit ribosomal RNA", at positions 1141 to 1476 of the family's 1533-position model. The record is from RNAcentral. Lineage: Bacteria; Pseudomonadati; Pseudomonadota; Gammaproteobacteria; Enterobacterales; Pectobacteriaceae.
AAAGGAGACUGCCAGUGAUAAACUGGAGGAAGGUGGGGAUGACGUCAAGUCAUCAUGGCCCUUACGAGUAGGGCUACACACGUGCUACAAUGGCGUAUACAAAGAGAAGCGAACUUGCGAGAGUAAGCGGACCUCAUAAAGUACGUCGUAGUCCGGAUUGGAGUCUGCAACUCGACUCCAUGAAGUCGGAAUCGCUAGUAAUCGUAGAUCAGAAUGCUACGGUGAAUACGUUCCCGGGCCUUGUACACACCGCCCGUCACACCAUGGGAGUGGGUUGCAAAAGAAGUAGGUAGCUUAACCUUCGGGAGGGCGCUUACCACUUUGUGAUUCAUGACU